This 85-nucleotide transfer RNA is filed under the name Pseudomonadota bacterium. Its description in RNAcentral is "tRNA-Leu". It matches the Rfam family "tRNA". Rfam says of the family: Transfer RNA (tRNA) molecules are approximately 80 nucleotides in length. Their secondary structure includes four short double-helical elements and three loops (D, anti-codon, and T loops). The record is from RNAcentral. Lineage: Bacteria; Pseudomonadati; Pseudomonadota.
GCCCCGGUGGUGGAACUGGUAGACGCGCUGGAUUCAAAAUCCAGUGCCGCGAGGCGUGUCGGUUCGAUUCCGACCCGGGGCACCA